CGGGGUGGCUGGAACGCAGCGGCGACAGGUCCUUCUAAGGAGGAAGUAAGAGGUUGCACUGCGCGGAACUGUACCACCUAGGCUUGGCAGCUGGCAAAUCACAGGCAGGGCCUGGAAAAGAUACUGCUGCUAAGUAGGCACAAACCUCAGAGGCAGUUUAGCAAAGACAGUGGGAGGUCUGGAGUUCUGUCCCAGAAGACCUGCGUUGUGUCCUACCCCGCCUCUUGCUAGUUAUGUGACCUUAGGGAAGGUACUUCACAGUUUUCUGCUCUGAAAACCGGGCAGAUGGUGAAUAGGAAAGUCAAAGAUUGAAAUUUAAAGAAUAACUUGCUCCAAGUCAUUACUGCUGCUAGGAACACCAAACAGUGCUCCUGCACUAUAAGAGCUGAAACAGUGUCUCCUUAUUUGAGCUCCAUUGGGAACGUGCAUAUUGGACACGUACAGCACUGGUUUAUCUGAGUCUUUGCAACACAGCACCUAACUGUGGGUGUGAAGCCGUGUGUGGCCACGGAGAAGAAACAGUCAAGUCCAGAGUUUGGCAACAGGAAAGCGUCAAGAGUGGGAGGAAGGCAAGGAUAACCCCACAAGGAUGUAUGUCACGUGAAGACAUGCAAGGUCAAGACCAACAUUUGCUGGGAUCUGGGUGACAUAAGGGACACUGGCAACACCAGCUGUGCCUAAGACCCCAUGUUUAUAGAAUGUCUGGAAUAAGUAAUUGACAUUUGUGUGCUGGUCCUCAGGAUCAUGAAAUGAUCAUGAAAUGGGCUUGUCCUCAGGCACAGACAUAGCCAGUGGUCAAGGUGAGAUUUCUCCAAAUCUGGAAAUAGGUAUCCUAAGUCCUGUUCCCUGGUCUUAACAGACUUGGCUAAGAAGUUUCUCAAUGUUUGCUUAAGAGUUUAAGUCCUAGUAGAGGAAGUGACCUGGCUCCUUAAUGACAAUCCCAUGUAUACCUAGAGAUGAAAGGAUUUUGUUUUCCAAUGAAUUACUCUUGGGGGUGGGUGUGUCACACGUGGCUGCUGUUAGGGAGACCUUCCCAGGCUAUGUCUUUGUGAUGCAGCUGUCCUGGAUAUCCAUCUCCAACCCUGAGUUCUGAGUCCAACCAUCUGGAAGAGUUUCGGGGGCCAGGCCCUGCUGCCCCUUGUCUGCCUUUCAUGUCACCUGGAAUCUGCUGAGUGAGGUCUACUAUGAGGGCUUAAAACUAGUCUUCCAUAGUUUAUGAGCCCAAAUCCAUCUGCAAGGGGACAGACCCCGGCUGACCAGCAGAUUAAACAAAUGUCCCCCUCUGUGGCGUUCCUAUGGUGAGAACUGAGUUCCCCAUGCAUGACGUCAGCGAGAGCCAGGGCAGGCCCUUCUCCCACACGUGGCUCAGAAAUCAUUUACAAAGCAAACAGAGAAGACAGCCCUGGGUAGGUGACUUUCCCUUUUGCUCUGGGCCAGCCCUGCGCUCCCAGGCCACUCCUAGAGGGCUUGUCUGAUCCGAGAGUGCAAUUAAAACCAGCUGUCCAGCCAGUGCCUGUAAAAUAUAUACUGGCAAUGGGGGAGAUCCUUGGAGAUUCUUUUACCUGGUAGAAAUAUGGAGACAAUUCCCAAAUCUGACUCUACUGAGAGCCUUCCAGACCUCCAGUUCCAUCUCUCUUCGGAAAAAAAAAUAAAUCCCAAAAUAACUUCCGGGGAAUCUGGGAGCAUAUGGUUCCACCACCCCAUUCUCUAGAAAGAAAUAUGAAAAAGAUUAGAGAGACUGUCAAAACCUCAGACUGGGCCUUGCACGGCUGGAAACGUAGCUCUUGUCUCCUGGCUUGCCCCAUCCUCCCCAUCGGGGUGAACCAAGUGACCUUGGGCUGGACGGGCAAAGUGGCGACCGUGAUUUGGAUGCCACAUUUACCCAAUUUCUAUUUAGCAAACAAAUCGAAUGUACUGCUGCUUGUGUUUGGGAUAAAUAUCUGAUUAGAUUCUCUUAACAUAGGAUGACUACUGCCCAUAAAGAAAAGAAUUUCAGCUGGGCGAUGUCCGGCCAGGGCACGAAGAUUGGGUUUCCUCUUUAUUUGUUGUCAGCAGGCAUGCCUGAUCUUUCCUACCUUGCAAGCUCAUUAAGCAUAUGCUUGAAUGUGGGGCUACUGACAACGCAGCUGUAUUUCAUUUGUAGAUAAUUGAUGCAAUAAAUGUAAUAACCAAAAGAGAUAUGUUGACUCAUGAGCUAAUUUGGGUGUAGAUGUUACAGCACUUCUGCAGCUGGAAACGUUUCCAUCACACAAAUCUGUUUCAGAUAAAUGCAUCUCAUUCCUGUCCUUACUAAGACAGAGGGGGAAAAAAAAUCAAACCAUCCUGUAUAUCUAAAAAUACAUGUUCAUAAGUUAUGGUCAGUCCAAACACUGCUUGAAAAAAUACUAAUGUCAGCAAAUCACUGCACAAACAAGUGGCUUUAACCCCUUCCACACUGGGAGUGCCAAAACGAGGUGCUCAAGCCAAGUUUUUUAGGC
This is a long non-coding RNA of Cynocephalus volans (Philippine flying lemur), 2477 nucleotides long. RefSeq lists it as uncharacterized. The transcript has 4 exons. NCBI's taxonomy places the organism in Eukaryota, Metazoa, Chordata, Mammalia, Dermoptera, Cynocephalidae. The record is from RefSeq and is a predicted model, not a curated record.